This 82-nucleotide ribosomal RNA is filed under the name uncultured eukaryote. RNAcentral's name for it is "partial small subunit ribosomal RNA". It matches the Rfam family "Eukaryotic small subunit ribosomal RNA", at positions 909 to 990 of the family's 1831-position model. The record is from RNAcentral.
AGGUGAAAUUCUCAGAUUAACAAAAGACUAACUUAUGCGAAAGCAUUUGCCAAGGAUGUUUUCAUCGAUCAAGAACGAAAGU